UUCCGUCACUCUGGAGAGCAGCCGCCGAAUGGGCGGCCACCGAAGGGGCGCGCAGCCGGGUGAGCAUCAGGCUGUAAUCUCUCAGGUAUCAGGGACAGAGGGGUAACG
RNAcentral lists this non-coding RNA (108 nucleotides) under Betaproteobacteria bacterium. RNAcentral's name for it is "Glycine sequence". It matches the Rfam family "Glycine riboswitch aptamer". Rfam says of the family: This family represents the bacterial glycine riboswitch. Glycine riboswitches usually consist of two metabolite-binding aptamers domains with similar structures in tandem. Lineage: Bacteria; Pseudomonadati; Pseudomonadota; Betaproteobacteria. The record is from RNAcentral.